Molecule: ribosomal RNA, 366 nt
Filed under: Acanthamoeba palestinensis
Lineage: Eukaryota; Discosea; Longamoebia; Acanthamoebidae
Description: SSU rRNA
Rfam family: Eukaryotic small subunit ribosomal RNA
Source: RNAcentral
AAAGCAGGCAGAUUCAAUUUUCUAGCCACCGAAUACAUUAGCAUGGGAUAAUGGAAUAGGACCCUGUCCUCCUAUCUUCAGUUGGUUAACUUGUAGAGGAUCAGGGUAAUGAUUAAUAGGGAUAGUUGGGGGCAUUAAUAUUUAAUUGUCAGAGGUGAAAUUCUUGGAUUUAUGAAAGAUUAACUUCUGCGAAAGCAUCUGCCAAGGAUGUUUUCAUUAAUCAAGAACGAAAGUUAGGGGAUCGAAGACGAUCAGAUACCGUCGUAGUCUUAACCAUAAACGAUGCCGACCAGCGAUUAGGAGACGUUGAAUACAAAACACCACCAUGUAUAAUUCAGUAUAUGGCCAGUCAAAUGGUUGUAUAUU